GAUGAACGCUAGCGGGAGGCCUAACACAUGCAAGCCGAGCGGUAUUGUUUCUUCGGAAAUGAGAGAGCGGCGUACGGGUGCGUAACACGUGUGCAACCUGCCUUUAUCUGGGGGAUAGCCUUUCGAAAGGAAGAUUAAUACUCCAUAAUAUAUUGAACGGCAUCGUUUAAUAUUGAAAGCUCCGGCGGAUAGAGAUGGGCACGCGCAAGAUUAGCUAGUUGGUGAGGUAACGGCUCACCAAGGCGAUGAUCUUUAGGGGGCCUGAGAGGGUGAUCCCCCACACUGGUACUGAGACACGGACCAGACUCCUACGGGAGGCAGCAGUGAGGAAUAUUGGUCAAUGAGUGCAAGCCUGAACCAGCCAUCCCGCGUGAAGGACGACUGCCCUAUGGGUUGUAAACUUCUUUUGUAUAGGGAUAAACCUACCCUCGAGAGGGUAGCUGAAGGUACUAUACGAAUAAGCACCGGCUAACUCCGUG
RNAcentral lists this ribosomal RNA (479 nucleotides) under uncultured bacterium. Its description in RNAcentral is "partial 16S ribosomal RNA". It matches the Rfam family "Bacterial small subunit ribosomal RNA", at positions 28 to 507 of the family's 1533-position model. The record is from RNAcentral.